AUGAUGAAGUGGAUACUGUGCUGUGUUUAUGAUCUGUUAUACAUACAGUAUCUCUCUGAUGAUGGACCACCAGGACAUUUCUCUCUCUCCUCCUCUCUCCUCUUCUCUCUCCUCUUCUCUCUCCUCCUCUCUCUCCUCCUCUCUCUCUUCUUCUCUCUCCUCCUCUCUUCUAUCGCCCCUUCUACUUCUUUCCCUCACUCUUCCUCUCUCUCUUCCUCUCUCUUCCUCUUCUCUACCCCCCUCUCAUCUUCUCUCAAAGAGUUAUGGAACAUCCGCUCUCCUCCUCCUGUCCUCUCUCUCCCCUUCUCUCUCUUCUUCUAUCUCAUCUCUCCCCUUAUCUCUCUCCUCUCUCCUACUCCUCUCUCUCCCCUUCUCUCUCUCCUCCUCUCUCCUCUCUCUCCCCUUCUCUCUCUCCUCCUCUCUCUUACUCCUCUCCUCUCUCUCCCAUUCUCUCUCUCCUCUCUCUUCCUUUUCUCUACCCCCCUCUCGUCCUCUCACAAAGAGAUACGGAACCUCCUCUCUCCUCCUCCUCUCCUCCCUCUCCCCUUAUUUCUACUCCUCUCACCUCCUCUCUUCUAUCUCCCCUCCUCUCUCUUUCCCUCACUCUUCCUCUCUCUCUUCCUCUCUCUCUUUUCUCUCUUCCUCUUCUUUAUCCCCCUCUCCUCCCUCAAAGAGAUACAGAACCUCCUCUCUCCUCCUCCUGUUCUCUCUCACCCCUCCUCUCUCUCCUCCUCGCUCCUCUCUCUCCCCUUCUCUCUCUCCUCCCUUCUCUUUCUCCCCCCCUCUCUCCUCCUCUCUCCUCUCUCUCCCCUCUCCUCCUCUCCUCUCUCUCCCCUUGUCUCUCUUUCUCUCUCACCCCUUCUCUCUCUCCUCCUCGCUCCUCUCUCUCCCCUUCUCUCUCUCCUCCCUUCUCUUUCUCUCCUCCUCUCUCUCCCCUUCUCUUUCUCUCCUCCUCUCUCCUCUCUCUCCCCUCCUCUCUCCUCCUCUCUCCUCUCUCUCCCCUCUCCUCCUCUCCUCUCUCUCCCCUUGUCUUUCUUUCUCUCUCCUCUUCUCUGA
This 1056-nucleotide long non-coding RNA is filed under the name Oncorhynchus mykiss (rainbow trout). Its description in RNAcentral is "lncRNA (ENSOMYG00000076601.1)". Lineage: Eukaryota; Metazoa; Chordata; Actinopteri; Salmoniformes; Salmonidae. The record is from RNAcentral.